UGCCUUUGUGUUGCCCAUUCACUACUUUUUACAGUGAAUGUGGUGUCAGAAAAGGCACAUAUUAACCCUGGCUGUCAUGUGUUCAGGAGUGGAUUGUGUAACUUCUCCACAUUUCAGCUAGAACACAC
This is a small nucleolar RNA of Varanus komodoensis (Komodo dragon), 128 nucleotides long. The record is from Ensembl. Lineage: Eukaryota; Metazoa; Chordata; Lepidosauria; Squamata; Varanidae.